Molecule: long non-coding RNA, 567 nt
Filed under: Numida meleagris (helmeted guineafowl)
Lineage: Eukaryota; Metazoa; Chordata; Aves; Galliformes; Numididae
Description: lncRNA (ENSNMEG00000003149.1)
Source: RNAcentral
AUGUCCCUGCUGCUGCGCUCCCAGCUGGGAGAGCUGCUCAGCGCUUCAGUGGGAGCGGGGAAGCUGCAGCUGGUCUCACUGCUGGUGGAAGAUGUGAAUGAGUGCAGUUUGGGGGUCAGCCUGUGUGGGGAGGAGGCAGAGUGUUUCAACGGCGUGGGCACCUACCUGUGCCGCUGCAAGAAGGGCUACGAGGACCGUUCUCCCACCAAGUCUGGCACUCUGUGCGUCCGCACUCCCCAGUCAGGGUUGGGCUUCCUGCUCCGCCAUGCUGACAUCCUGGUGGGGGCAGCCAUCACGGCCAGCCUGGUGCUGCUGGUGGCUGCCGGAGCCUUGUGCUGGGCAAAAUGGCGGAGACGGCAUCCGAGCAGGGCCCUGGAGCCUGAGGAGCCACUGGAGCGGGCUGUGGAAGAGCCACCAGUGAUAGAGCUGCGGGACCUGGGGGACUGCCUGCGCCUUGACCCCUUCCAGCUGAAGCUGCGGGCCAGGCCCCCUGAGUGGCUGUGGGGGGCUCGGGCACACCCUGGCCAGGCCUACAGAGUCUUCCUGGAACAGUCGCCUCCACUCUAG